AGUGAACGCUGGCGGUGCGCCUAAAACAUGCAAGUCGAGUGUCCUCGCAAGAGGAACACGGCGAACGGCUGAGUACCACGUGGGUACCUGCCCCGAACUCAGGGAUAACCCCGCGAAAGCGGGGCUAAUACCGGAUGGUCCCGAAAGGGUAAAGAUUUUUCGGUUCGGGAGGGGCCUGCGGCCUAUCAGGUUGUUGGUAAGGUAACGGCUUACCAAGCCUAUGACGGGUAGCUGGAUUGAGAGAUCGACCAGCCAGAAUGGGACUGAGACACGGCCCAUACUCCUACGGGAGGCAGCAGUGGGGAAUAUUGGACAAUGGGCGCAAGCCUGAUCCAGCCAUGCCGCGUGAGUGAUGAAGGCCCUAGGGUUGUAAAGCUCUUUCGGCGGGGAAGAUAAUGACGGUACCCGCAUAAGAAGCCCCGGCUAACUUCGUGCCAGCAGCCGCGGUAA
Molecule: ribosomal RNA, 450 nt
Filed under: uncultured bacterium
Lineage: Bacteria
Description: partial 16S ribosomal RNA
Rfam family: Bacterial small subunit ribosomal RNA
Source: RNAcentral